UUUGCGUAUGGGUGAGAAGGAGGCAGUGACGUGCGUGUGUGUAUGUGUGCGUUUCUGUGACUCUGCAACGCGCGUCGAUAUGCUCCGUCACUGCCCGCUGCACCGCUGCCUGCCCAUCAGCGUUGCUUGCCGCGUCCUCGGCUUCCAGGCGCCACCCACAAGCAAGCGCGACCUCCGGAAGAGGUUCGUGCAGCUCACGAAAGAAUGUCACCCAGACCUGCACGCCGACAAUGAGAAGGCCGCAACAGCGAAAAUGGUGCAGCUGACGGAGGCCUACACCUGCCUGAAAGAGCUGCUCGAGCACCGAGUGCAGUACCACCAAGGCGCCGGCCUCGGCCCGCGUCCCUCCAGCGCAAGUGCGAGCGGCGAGGGCAGUGCGGCAGCGCGCCCGCACGAAGAUGCGUGGGCAGAGGUGACGGCCAGCUUCCGCGCGCCGGGCUCGUCGAUAAGCCUGCGUGGCUUCACGCUGCCAUGGCAGCGCACCACCAGCAACUCGGUGAUUUCCUCACUGGAGGCGAAGAUGCGGGAGGCGAACGUGUCUUUCAGCGACUUUGUACGCUACGCGCGGCACCUCGAGAAGGACCGGCAGACGAAGGAAAACCGCAUCCGCGCAGACGCGGCCAUGGCAGACGGCACACACGGCUUCACGGCGGAGUACUUCGAGAGCGUGAACAAGAACAGCGCUGUCAGGCGUGCAACGGAACGGCGUAGGCUGCCCAUGACGCACCUCAUGACCCUCGGCGCCUUCUACUACGGCCGUCGACUGCGCAAUGGCAUCGAACAGGCACCGCGGGGUGCAUGGCGCACGCUCCGCUACGUCGUUCUCGGCCACUGAAGGGGACUCCUUGCUCAAGGAAGGUGGUAGGCAUGCCCCUUGGCUGUGAAGGUGUGUGCGAAACCUUGUCGCCUGCCCGCAUCGCACCUCUUCAUCUCCCUUCCCGCCUAUUGUCCAGACCACAUUCACGACACACCACC
RNAcentral lists this unclassified non-coding RNA (975 nucleotides) under Leishmania donovani. Its description in RNAcentral is "gene:LdHU3.10.1480(CDS-product:DnaJ_domain_contai ning_protein_putative)". The record is from RNAcentral. Lineage: Eukaryota; Euglenozoa; Kinetoplastea; Trypanosomatida; Trypanosomatidae.